GGGUGACUAGUCUAGUGGUCAGGACGCUUCGUUGUGGUUUCGGCACACACACACCGGCCGAUACAUGACGACCGAAGAAACCCCGGUUCGAUUCCGGGGUCGCCCA
Molecule: non-coding RNA, 106 nt
Organism: Podospora fimiseda
Lineage: Eukaryota; Fungi; Ascomycota; Sordariomycetes; Sordariales; Podosporaceae
Source: the annotation of a GenBank genome assembly